RNAcentral lists this long non-coding RNA (204 nucleotides) under Elaeis guineensis (African oil palm). RNAcentral describes it as "long non-coding RNA (EGUI_LNC047615)". The record is from RNAcentral. Lineage: Eukaryota; Viridiplantae; Streptophyta; Magnoliopsida; Arecales; Arecaceae.
GCCGUACAGAGAUCUAACUUUGAGAAGUGGCUUGGAGUCAUUAAAUCUAAAAUAAAAUUCAUAAAGAUCGACGAUAUAUGGAUAUUCAUUGAUUCACCUAAAGGGAUAAGAUCCAUAGGGUAUGAGUAGAUUUUAGAUGGAUAAGAGGCACAGACAGAAAGAUGGAGACCUAUUAAUUCUGUCCGAUUGUCAAAAAAUUUCAUC